CGGCCACAUGCUGGACCUCGUCCUGAACACAUGGGCCACUCCAUUUAAUCAUGGUCACAACCUUAGGAGGUAGGUAGGUGCGAUAACUAACCCCACUUCAGAGGGGAACAGUUAGGGACAGAGAGGCAAACCACAACCCGGUGGCCCAAGGUCACACAACCACUGAGUGGCAGGGCUGGGCUUUGGGGCUAGACGGUCAUCCCGACACCCCCUGCUCUUAGCUGCUAUGCCUUGUCGAUUAAAUGAGAUAAAGCAUAAAACAGUUCCUAGAAAUUCUGACAUAGAGAGAAGCUCCACUACUGUCUGACAUUAUUGCUGUGAAUUUUGCCCAUGAGCAGGAUGGAGAGGAAAAGUCAAACAGGAGAAGGACAUGGAAAUUCCACUGGAAGGGACCCUACAACCCUGGGUUCCUGGCUGCCCACCUCUUGCUGACAAGGAUCUACUUGAGAAACUGCUUCUCCCACAGACACUUUAGUCAUUUUCCAAAAUACAGAAUGUGGGGCUGGGGGAACUGGGAGGGAUGGAGUGGCCCUCUAGCCCAGCUCCCCCAGAGGACAGAGGAGGAAACAGAGGCCCAGGGACAGGUCCUCUACAGCCUGAUGGCCUGUGCUCUUAUUUGCAUAUCGCUUUCCAUGAAUUUGCAUAUUGGGCUCCAGAGACUCCACCUUUGAAACAGAAUGAAAGACUUUAUGGACACUGAAUUCUGAUGUAAGAAUUGACUCGACAUACUUGAAAUGCAGAACAGAGCCCUAGACUGCCAGGAAGAGGCCGGGCGCCUGGUGACAGAGGACAGGACGGGCAGGCAGGACCCAGCCUCCUCCCGAGCACCUUCAGAAGCAUUACCCCCUGGGGCCCGGGUGACCCAGGAGCUGCUCCAAGGAGCCACGAGACCCGCUCCAUGACAGCCCAGCAGAACGGGGGUGCAGACCCAGGACACAUGUUCUCCUGGUACAACCUUCAGGAGGCUUCAGGAGGCUAUGCGACCUCCCUGAGAUUGCUGGAGGGCUAGCAACAGUUCACAACAGAGCCAAGACAGGAUCCCCAGCCCCACAGUGACGUCCAUCUUCAGGGUGAAGCUGCCAGGAGACCCCUUGGAGGUACAACUUCUUCCUUCUCUGGCUGGGCGGGGGGACCUCAGGAUUUCCAAUAGUCCCCUGUGGGCCGAGAGCUGCCCCCUGUGGAACUGUCCUCUGGGAAAAUCCAGCGUCCCCUGGAUGAACCCAAGGGCUGGUGAGUGCUGAGCUGUGUGGACACACCCUAGCUGGUCCCUGGGGGGCUUCCAUGCAGUCAGCUGGGUUGGCGGUGUGGUUGGCAGGCGGGGCCAAACAAGGGAGAGAAAUACAAACACCUGCCACAGAAAGAAGCCAGGCAGCGGGGCUGCCCUGCUGGGGAAGGGCAGGCAGGGCUGACCCCAAGAAGGCCUGGCUUUCUCCUUGCCAGCACAGGGGUGAGAAGUGAGCACCAGGCUGGGUGCAGCACAGUCCCAGCUGCUGCAAAAGACCUCGGAGAGCUCCCGUCAAAGAGACAGGACUGGGGACCCGGGGCCACCAGGAACUCAGUGAGACCAAAAGAUGAGGCCAGAGGAGCUCCCGUUGUGGCUCAGUGGUAACAAACCUGACCGGUAUUCUUGAAGAUGCAGGUUUGAUCCCUGGCCUUGCUCAGUGGGUUAAGGAUCUGGCAUUGCUGCGAGCUGCCGUGUACGUGGCAAAUGGGGCUCGGAUCUGGUGUUGGCGGGCAGCUGCAGCUCCAAUUGGACCCCUAGCCUGGGAACUUCCACAUGCUGCAGGUGCAGCCCCUAAAAAGCAAAACAAAACCAAAAACAAACAAACAAAACGGUGAGGGAACCGGGGUGGAGCUGGAAUGAAGGCUUGGGAGUCAUCGAGGAGGCUCGUGGAUGCCAGGGGAUUUGACUGUUAUUCUGCUGGCAGGGGGACACCACUGAAAGUUUUGAGGAGACAGCGACGCAGUGAUGAUUUGGGAAAUAAUUCCUGACGCAAGAGACAGAUGGCAAGAGCUUGAAAGGAGAAGAAUCAAUUAGGCAGCCUCUGCACCAGGGCAGGCCAGGGGGGACGGGGAGAUAGCCUGAUUUCGAGCAGCGGGAGGGAAUGGGGGAAACUAGGAGGGAGCAAAAAAGGAACUGACAGGAAUCAGCGAAGGAUGAGCAAGAGGAAGGCGCCAGGAUGGCUGGGUGAUGACAUCAAGUGACCUCAAGGAUUUGGGAGGAGCAGGCAUGGACCUCGCAGAGAUCCCAGUAGGAGGUUGGAACGUCCAGAGAUCUUUGGGCUGCAGACAGGCUGGGGACUGACCUCAUUCAAAGAGCCAGAGAAGGAGACUGAAGAGGAAAAAGGGAGAAAUGGGGACAGAAACCCAGGGGGAUGCUGAGCAGGUACAGGACAGACAUGACCUCAGCAGCUGGCCAUGCGGAGGCCACCCACGCGUUGGUGGCAGGAGUCAAAGAGAAACAGAAACAAAACUCUGAAAGAUUUGCAAGUGCAAUGAGAAAAUAAAGCCCCAGAGUGUACACAGUCACUUCGACUCCCAGAGGCUGUCUGCGAAAAUAAGAAUCUCAAGAGGGCAGUGAAAAGAAAACAUGUAAAUAUCCUGGAUUAUUCAGAACGAUUUAUCCAUCUCGUUAGUAAGACGGCAUUCUUCAGAUUACUCUUCUCUUAAUGAAUUCAAAUGGAAUCUUUUCACAACUUUAUAAUUAGAGAUGGUACAAGCAUUUUUUUGGGGGGGGGGGAUCUUUGUAGGGCCACACCCGAGGCAUACGGAGGUUCCCAGGCUAGGGUUGAACCAGAGCCUACACCACAGCCACAGCAAUGCCAGAUCCGAGCUGCAUCUGUGACCUACACCACAGCUCCCUUAACCCACUGAGCGAAGCCAGGGAUCGAACCCGCAACCUCAUGGUUCCUAGUUGGAACAGCCAAGUUUCAGCAUCAGAAUAGUCCUAAUAAAAUGCAGGGGGGAGUUCCUGUUGUGGCACAGCAGAAACAAUCCAACUAGAAUCCAUGAGGACACAGGUUCGAUCCCUGGCCUCGCUCAGUGGGUUAAGGAUCCUGCGUUGCUGUGAGCUGUGGUGUAGGCUGGCAGCUACAGCUCUGAUUCGACCCCUUGCCUGGGAACUUCUGUAUCCUGUGGGUGCAGCUCUAAAAAGAAAAAAAAUGCAGUGGUAGCUUGUCACUCUUUGGUUCAAACCUUCAAUGACGUCCAAGCUCAGGAGUCAAACUCAAAGUCCCCACAGUGAUGAGUAAGGAUCAGACCUGGCUGCCUACCACCCACCUCCCCAACUCCUGCUCCGGCCCCGAGGGCCUCCUUGUUCUUCCGCCAACCUGGCCUUUCUGUGUUCUUUUGCUUUCUUUACCUUACUGUUCUCAGGGGUAUCCAGAAGCUCCUCCCCUACAUGUUCCAGGACUUCACUCAAAGACCAUAAUCUCUGGGAUGCCUUGCCAGACCCUCCUAUUUAAAACCGGAUGCUUGGGAGUUCCCGCUGUAGCUCAGGGGGUUAAGAAUCUGACUAAUACCCAUGAGGAUGUGGGUUGGAUCCCUGGCCUCACUGAAUGAGUUAAGGAUCUGGUGUUGCCAUGAGCUGCGGUAUAGGUUGCAGAUGUGGCUCAGGUCUGGUGUUGAUGCAGCUGUGGUGUAGGCUGGUAGUGGCAGCUCCAAUUGGACCCCUAGCCUGGAAACUUCCAUAUGCCGUGGGUGUGGCCCUAAAAAGCAAAAAAAAAAAAAAAAAAAAAAAGCAACAACAAAAAAAUGGAAUGCUUUGUCCAGAAAAGACGAAAACUCUAAUGCAAAAAGAUACAAACACCCCAAAGUUAUAGCAAUAGCAUUAUUCACAAUAGCCAAGACAUGGAAGUAACCUAAAUGUCCAUCAACAGAUGAAUGAAUAAAGAUGCGGUUCAGGGAGUCCCCGUUGUGGCUCAGUGGUAAGGAACCCGACUAGUAUCCAUGAGGACUUGGGUUCAAUCCCUGGCCUCAUUCAGUGGGUUAAGGAUCGGGUGUUUCUGUGGCUGUGGUGUAGGCCAGCAGCUACGGCUCCAGUUUGACCCCUAGCCUAGGAACCUCCAUGUGCCACAGGUUCAGC
Molecule: long non-coding RNA, 4084 nt
Filed under: Sus scrofa (pig)
Lineage: Eukaryota; Metazoa; Chordata; Mammalia; Artiodactyla; Suidae
Description: lncRNA (ENSSSCG00000054070.1, ENSSSCG00105037009.1, ENSSSCG00110022785.1)
Source: RNAcentral